RNAcentral lists this non-coding RNA (45 nucleotides) under Proteomonas sulcata. The record is from RNAcentral. Lineage: Eukaryota; Cryptophyceae; Pyrenomonadales; Geminigeraceae.
ACCACUCCCAAGAUUGCACCUAUUUUGGGUUCUGUCGGAUACAGU